RNAcentral lists this ribosomal RNA (484 nucleotides) under uncultured bacterium. RNAcentral describes it as "partial 16S ribosomal RNA". It matches the Rfam family "Bacterial small subunit ribosomal RNA", at positions 30 to 507 of the family's 1533-position model. The record is from RNAcentral.
AUUGAACGCUGGCGGCAGGCCUAACACAUGCGAGUCGAGCGGAUGAGGGGAGCUUGCUCCCUGAUUUAGCGGCGGACGGGUGAGUAAUGCCUAGGAAUCUGCCUGGUAGUGGGGGAUAACGUUCCGAAAGGAACGCUAAUACCGCAUACGUCCUACGGGAGAAAGCAGGGGACCUUCGGGCCUUGCGCUAUCAGAUGAGCCUAGGUCGGAUUAGCUAGUUGGUGAGGUAAUGGCUCACCAAGGCGACGAUCCGUAACUGGUCUGAGAGGAUGAUCAGCCACACUGGAACUGAGACACGGUCCAGACUCCUACGGGAGGCAGCAGUGGGGAAUAUUGGACAAUGGGCGAAAGCCUGAUCCAGCCAUGCCGCGUGUGUGAAGAAGGUCUUCGGAUUGUAAAGCACUUUAAGUUGGGAGGAAGGGCUGCUGGCUAAUACCCUGCAGUUUUGACGUUACCAACAGAAUAAGCACCGGCUAACUUCGUG